Molecule: ribosomal RNA, 334 nt
Filed under: uncultured bacterium
Lineage: Bacteria
Description: bacterial SSU rRNA
Rfam family: Bacterial small subunit ribosomal RNA
Source: RNAcentral
GAUGAACGCUAGCGGCAGGCCUAACACAUGCAAGUCGAGGGGUAGAGUUAGCUUGCUAACUUGAGACCGGCGCACGGGUGCGUAACGCGUAUGCAAUCUACCUUGUACAGAGGGAUAGCCCAGAGAAAUUUGGAUUAAUACCUCAUAGUAUCUUUACCUGGCAUCGGGUAAUUAUUAAAGUUCCAACGGUACAAGAUGAGCAUGCGUCCCAUUAGUUAGUUGGUAAGGUAACGGCUUACCAAGACAAUGAUGGGUAGGGGUCCUGAGAGGGAGAUCCCCCACACUGGUACUGAGACACGGACCAGACUCCUACGGGAGGCAGCAGUGGGGAAGU